Long non-coding RNA from Rhincodon typus (whale shark), 923 nucleotides. RefSeq lists it as uncharacterized. The record is from RefSeq and is a predicted model, not a curated record. The transcript is spliced from 2 exons. Lineage: Eukaryota; Metazoa; Chordata; Chondrichthyes; Orectolobiformes; Rhincodontidae.
UUAUCCAAGACUGAUCACUUUCAUUCUGUAGCUGUCAUUCAUCUGGAUUUUAAUCAACAACGUGCCUUCGGUUACACAUUCUAUAUUUCCUGUUGCAAUCUUUGAGGGUGGAACUCUAAGUGGCUUUGGUGUGGCACUUCCGUUGGUGCAGAGAAAACAAACAAGUGCUCGUUGUAAAAGGCCUAGUGAAAUAACCGCCUGGCCCAAACGCUGGAUGCAAUGAUUCUGGAGCUCAAACCAAUUUGAACAUCUAAUCUCAGCGAAAAAAAAAAACAGACUUUAGAUUACGAGAUUUAAAAUCAGGAUCCAGAGAGAUUCAUGACAAAGAAAACAACAACUGUUAGUAAAAUUCAACAUUGCGUGUUUCUGUUUUUCAUUACUGAUGGCUAUCCUCCACCAUCUUGAGUCAUUAACUGCCAAGCGUGACCUUUGCCAAGAAUAGCAGAUCGGUUGUUUGGUGCUACACAACAUCUAUUACAAAAAUGCUACUUAUCUGCUCACGGGACACAGGCAGACAAAGAAAUGGAGUUGAGUUGAGGCAGACAUCAGUCAUGAUCUUACUGAGUGGCAGAGCUGACUCAAUAGGCUGUGUGGUCUAUUCCUGCCCCGAUUUUCUACGUUCCAAGAGUCAACAUCAAGCUGACACCAACCACAAGAUACAGAAGACUGAAUAAAUCGCCUGCUAUUAUCAAUUCCAACGAAAACCACAAAUACAUACGAGCACUUGGAACAAAUGCUUGCACCAAAUCACUUCAACGUCACUUUCUGGUGGAUACAUAAUCAUACAAGAAAUUACACACUUUAGUUUUGUAACUACGAAGGGUUUUAUUGGUCUGAGCAUGCUUUCAGUAAAUCAAGAUGCAAGUUUAGAAUCCUCCAGCUUUGUUUGGCUUCAUGCACAAUAAAACACUGCCAUAAAAGCA